CCUGUGGAGCGUCAUAUCAAACGCGAGUAGCUUCGGCAAAAGCGGACGCGACGAAGCAGGAA
The submitters of this non-coding RNA (62 nucleotides) gave its source as unclassified sequences. The record is from Rfam.